This 74-nucleotide transfer RNA is filed under the name Ixodes scapularis (black-legged tick). It matches the Rfam family "tRNA". From Rfam's summary of the family: Transfer RNA (tRNA) molecules are approximately 80 nucleotides in length. Their secondary structure includes four short double-helical elements and three loops (D, anti-codon, and T loops). The record is from Rfam by way of RNAcentral. Lineage: Eukaryota; Metazoa; Arthropoda; Arachnida; Ixodida; Ixodidae.
UCCUGGUUAGCUUCGGUUGGUAAAGCACUUCACUGGAAAUGGAGAGGUCCCUGGUUCGAUCCCAGGUCAAGGCA